Molecule: long non-coding RNA, 2157 nt
Organism: Myotis brandtii (Brandt's bat)
Lineage: Eukaryota; Metazoa; Chordata; Mammalia; Chiroptera; Vespertilionidae
Exons: 2
Source: RefSeq, a predicted model, not a curated record
UCCACAGGCCGACGCUCUAUCCACUGAGCCAAACCGGUUUCGGCCAUACUACAUUCUUAAGUUUGAAUGUAUUUCUAGUCUGUUGGCCUACCAAGUCAUUCAUGCACCAAAAUGACACUUUUAAUUAUUAUAGUUUUGUGUGUCUUAAUAUCUGUUGGGGAUUCAACACCAGCUGCUUUGCUCCCAGUAGCUCCCACCUAUAAUUUUUCCUAUGUGAACUCAUGUUAAAGUUUGUUUUUUUAACCCCAUUGGUAUGUCCUUACUGGGACAGCAUUCAAUUUUCUAUUUAAUGCAGGAAGACUGACAACUUUGUGUUACUGACUGCUCCUGUUCAAGAACUUGGUCUAUCUUUGCAUUUGUUCAAGUUUUCUGUGUCCUUCAUAGUAUUUUCAAGAUUUCUUUGGACCUUGUACAUCUCCUGUUAACUCCUGGCUGUUAUUUUAAGAUUAAAACUUUUUAAAGAGAUGGAGGUUGGCAUUUUUCAGGUCAAACGUUCUGGAUCCUCAAACAGACGCUCCCUAUUUAGGACAGUGAAGAAGCCUGAAGUUGGCCAGCAGAUCUGCCCGAGUGACCUUGGGCCCCUUUCACAUCCUGCUUCUUGCUGCAAAUUCCUAUGCAAUCGACAGUCUCCAAUUGCAUCUCUCUGCAACUAAAAAAGAAAAUACAGCUCCCCUUUUCUCCACCCUCCCACACAGUCCCUUCUAACAAAGUGAUCCAGUUCUAAGCCCGCCAGCUAGAAGCCAUCUUUGAGGGAUAGUGCCUGCGACACGGCCUGGUCCCUUAGAGAUGAACAUGAAUCGUCUCACGUCGGCUGGGUCUGGGUGAGUCCCCUCCUCUACGUCUAGUCUGAUGACUACCCACCUCGCUGGGCCAUUGAGAGCAGCCGCUGGGUUCCCUGAUGGGACAGCACCUGGCGGGGGGCGGCUUCCUGGGCACCACCCUCGCCUUCUAGGACUUUAACUCCUCCUUGCUGUUCUGAACCUUCCAGUCGAGACACUAAAGUAUUUCCCAACCAGUGUUUUCCUUGGUGGCUGAGGAGCUCUCCUGGUUCCCCAUCAAUGUCGGUGAGCUGCAGACCACUCCCAGAGGGUUAGUUUCCUGAGAACUGCACUGACCUGGCUCCCCCAGCUCCCGGUUCCUGGGCCACGGCAGAGGCUCCCAUGAGGGGCGGUCUCAAGAGAUCAGGUCCUGAAGCAGAACGAGUCCGUGCGAGGCCAUGUCCAUCUGCUUCCUGACAGGCUCAGUGUCACUCAAAUGGAGCAAAGAGGGCUUCUUCCAGGGCCCAGGCGCACAGGCUGGUCAAUUCUUCUCUGACACCCCGCUGACGUGGCACCUGCGUCCUCACAAAUACUUGGGUGGUAACAUGCCCAGAGCCCUCUGCGCAUGUAACAACUCCUGUGUUGUUCUGCGAUCCUGUUCACAGCUGCCCCGUUCAGCAGGCCGGAAGUUCCUGGGGUCUCUCGAGUCUCCUCGGAGCCCAGCACCCAGCACAGGCGCUGGCAGGAGGAGCACUCUGCUGUGGUGGUGUUCACGCCGGUCCCGGCUCAGGCUCUGUGUGUUCUUACUUAAACUAUUAAACAUGCAAACGUUUGAGUGAGAAGAGACUCAAAAUAUUUUAUUUCCCACAGAGAAAUCGCUUGCCCAAAGAAUCGAAGAGAAAUAAGUAUAAACAAAACUAUGCUCUGAGCUGUGAAAAAUGCCAAUGUUUAUCAAUACAUCUACAUAACAGCUCAAUGUUCCCCCAGGGUUACCUUGGUAAGCCUCCAAAAAGCCAGAGACAGGAAGGGUGAAAACAUGAGGCCAACAAUUCAAAACCUUUUCAUCUUUUUUUUUUAUUUUAAAUUACAAAGGAUGUUGCAUACACAGAUGAGUCUGUAUCUGACUAGAAGUGCCGAGGGGUUGGAAGGUGACAGAGAACAAAGGCAACAUUGGAAUUGCCUUUUCUUCUGAAAAGAAAAACUGCACAGCUAUUAACCAACAUUUAAUAGAAUAAAUUUUAAACAGCUCAUGCGUCAACAAGAUAAAAUUCUUUCUAGACAAAAGACAAGACUGAAUCCAAUAAAGUUUCAUAGCUCCAGUUGUGGGGGUGUGGGGUAGGGGACAGGGGAACAAAACGACAGAAUCUGAUAGCAUUACAAACAGGAUCCUAUGCGGCUA